GACGAACGCUGGCGGCGUGCCUAAUACGUGCAAGUAGAACGCUGAAGGAGGAGCUUGCUUCUCUGGAUGAGUUGCGAACGGGUGAGUAACGCGUAGGUAACCUGCCUGGUAGCGGGGGAUAACUAUUGGAAACGAUAGCUAAUACCGCAUAACAGUAGAUAUCGCAUGAUAUCUACUUGAAAGGUGCAAUUGCAUCACUACCAGAUGGACCUGCGUUGUAUUAGCUAGUUGGUGAGGUAACGGCUCACCAAGGCGACGAUACAUAGCCGACCUGAGAGGGUGAUCGGCCACACUGGGACUGAGACACGGCCCAGACUCCUACGGGAGGCAGCAGUAGGGAAUCUUCGGCAAUGGACGGAAGUCUGACCGAGCAACGCCGCGUGAGUGAAGAAGGUUUUUGGAUCGUAAAGCUCUGUUGUAAGAGAAGAACGAGUGUGAGAGUGGAAAGUUCACACUGUGACGGUAUCUUACCAGAAAGGGACGGCUAACUACGUG
RNAcentral lists this ribosomal RNA (495 nucleotides) under uncultured bacterium. RNAcentral describes it as "partial 16S ribosomal RNA". It matches the Rfam family "Bacterial small subunit ribosomal RNA", at positions 28 to 507 of the family's 1533-position model. The record is from RNAcentral.